UACGUAGGGGGCGAGCGUUGUCCGGAUUCAUUGGGCGUAAAGAGCUCGUAGGCGGUUCAGUAAGUCGGGUGUGAAAUCUCCGUGCUCAACACGGAGCGGCCACCUGAUACUGCUGUGACUCGAGUCCGGUAGGGGAGUGUGGAAUUCCCGGUGUAGCGGUGAAAUGCGCAGAUAUCAGGAGGAACACCGGUGGCGAAGGCGGGUCUCUGGGCAGUAACUGACGCUGAGGAGCGAAAGCGUGGGGAGCGAACAGG
RNAcentral lists this ribosomal RNA (254 nucleotides) under uncultured bacterium. Its description in RNAcentral is "partial 16S ribosomal RNA". It matches the Rfam family "Bacterial small subunit ribosomal RNA", at positions 524 to 776 of the family's 1533-position model. The record is from RNAcentral.